Molecule: ribosomal RNA, 774 nt
Filed under: uncultured Neocallimastigales
Lineage: Eukaryota; Fungi; Neocallimastigomycota; Neocallimastigomycetes; Neocallimastigales
Description: partial large subunit ribosomal RNA
Rfam family: Eukaryotic large subunit ribosomal RNA
Source: RNAcentral
UAUGUGAUCGUCUCUCGCAUAUCAAUAAGCGGAGGAAAAGAAACUAACAAGGAUUCCCCUAGUAACGGCGAGUGAAGCGGGAAGAGCUCAAAUUUGAAAUCUUAAAGGGUUUCCCUUUACGAAUUGUAGUUUAAAGAAGUGUUUUCUGUUGAGGUUUUGGUAAAAGUUCUUUGGAAUAGGACAUCAUAGAGGGUGAGAAUCCCGUAUUUGACCUUUACUUUCAACUUUGUGAUACACUUUCAAAGAGUCGGAUUGUUUGGGAAUGCAGUCCAAAAUGGGUGGUAAAUUUCAUCUAAAGCUAAAUAUUGGCGAGAGACCGAUAGCGAACAAGUACCGUGUGGGAAAGAUGAAAAGAACUUUGAAAAGAGAGUUAAACAGUACGUGAAAUUGUCAAAAGGGAAGCGUUUGACACCAGUGUUGUUUUUCUGAAAAUCAAUUAAAGAACUGUUUAUGCUAAGUUGUUUAGACUUUAUCAGCUAACUGUUUAGUUUUGAGCUUUUCUUUAAUGCACUUUUCAGUUAACAAGUCAACAUCAAUUUCUUUUGCUGUAAAAAAGCUUGAGGAAGGUGGCUUGAGAUUCGUCUUAAGUGUUUAUAGCCUCUUGCCUAUGCAGUCGGAGAGAUUGAGGUCUGCAGCGUAGAUCCUUCGGGGCUAAAUGCAUUUGUGCUAAGUUAUAGCAUUUUAUAGACAACUUGUUGACUAUGAUUUGUCUUGUAGCUUACUCGCUUAUGUUAUUUUACCUACGCUUAGGAUGUUGAGCGCAUGUCUCUCUCU